AUUGAACGCUGGCGGCAGGCCUAACACAUGCAAGUCGAGCGGAGCGGCGGACGGGUGGGUAAGGCCUAGGAAUCUGCCUGGUAGUGGGGGAUAACGCCCGGAAACGGGCGCUAACACCGACUACUUGCACAUGACCAUGGGUCGGAGUAGCUAGUUGGUGGGGUAAAGGCCUACAAAGGCGACGAUCCGUAACUGGUCUGAGAGGAUGAUCAGUCACACUGGAACUGAGACACGGUCCAGACUCCUACGGGAGGCAGCAGUGGGGAAUAUUGGACAAUGGGCGAAAGCCUGAUCCAGCCAUGCCGCGUGUGUGAAGAAGGUCUUCGGAUUGUAAAGCACUUUAAGUUGGGAGGCGUUACCAACAGAAUAAGCACCGACUAACUUCGUGCCAGCAGCCGCGGUAAUUC
This 407-nucleotide ribosomal RNA is filed under the name uncultured bacterium. RNAcentral's name for it is "partial 16S ribosomal RNA". It matches the Rfam family "Bacterial small subunit ribosomal RNA", at positions 30 to 526 of the family's 1533-position model. The record is from RNAcentral.